Molecule: ribosomal RNA, 484 nt
Filed under: uncultured bacterium
Lineage: Bacteria
Description: partial 16S ribosomal RNA
Rfam family: Bacterial small subunit ribosomal RNA
Source: RNAcentral
AUUGAACGCUGGCGGCAGGCCUAACACAUGCAAGUCGAGCGGAUGAAGGGAGCUUGCUCCUGGAUUCAGCGGCGGACGGGUGAGUAAUGCCUAGGAAUCUGCCUGGUAGUGGGGGAUAACGUCCGGAAACGGGCGCUAAUACCGCAUACGUCCUGAGGGAGAAAGUGGGGGAUCUUCGGACAUCACGCUAUCAGAUGAGCCUAGGUCGGAUUAGCUAGUUGGUGGGGUAAAGGCCUACCAAGGCGACGAUCCGUAACUGGUCUGAGAGGAUGAUCAGUCACACUGGAACUGAGACACGGUCCAGACUCCUACGGGAGGCAGCAGUGGGGAAUAUUGGACGAUGGGCGAAAGCCUGAUCCAGCCAUGCCGCGUGUGUGAAGAAGGUCUUCGGAUUGUAAAGCACUUUAAGUUGGGAGGAAGGGCAGUAAGUUAAUACCUUGCUGUUUUGACGGUACCAACAGAGUAAGCACCGGCUAACUUCGUG